AGGCAGCAGGCACGCAAAUUACCCAAUCCCAGCUCGGGGAGGUAGUGACGAAAAAUAACAAUGCGGGACUCUUCCGAGUCUGCGUAAUUGGAAUGAGCACACUUUAAAUCCUUUAGCAACAACCAAUUGGAGGGCAAGUCUGGUGCCAGCAGCCGCGGUAAUUCCAGCUCCAAUAGCGUAUAUUAAAGUUGUUGCGGUUAAAAAGCUCGUAGUUGGAGGUCAGUUCCGGACUGGGGUGGGAGGUCACCGCCCGGUGCUUCCCCGUCAGGCUCCGAACAGCUUCCGUGAGUGGAAGCCAAGCCGGUUCUGCCGGGGUGCUCUUUACCGAGUGUCCCGCGCGGCCGGCCAGUUCACCUUGAAUAAAUGAGAGUGCUCAAAGCAGGCUACUCUGGAAUACAAUGCCCGAAUGUUACCUGCAUGGAAUGAUGGAAGAUGAUCUCGGUUCCAUUUUGUUGGUGGUGGGAGCCAGAGGUAAUGAUAAAGAGGGACUGUCGGGGGCAUCCGUACUACGACGCGAGAGGUGAAAUUCAGUGACCGUCGUAGGACGAACAACAGCGAAAGCAUUUGCCAAGAAUGUCUUCGUUGAUCAAGAACGAAAGUUAGAGGAUCGAAGGCGAUCAGAUACCGCCCUAGUUCUAACCCUAAACGAUGCUGACUAGCAAUUCGCCGUCGUUAUUCCCAUGACGUGGCGAGACGCCCCCGGGAAACCUCAAGUCUUUGAGUUCCGGGGGUAGUAUGGUUGCAAAAGUGAAACUUAAAGGAAUUGACGGAAGGGCACCACCAGGAGUGGAGCCUGCGGCUUAAUUUGACUCAACACGGGAAAGCUCACCAGGCCCGGACACCAGAAGGAUUGACAGAUUAAGAGCUCUUUCUCGAUUUGGUGGGUGGUGGUGCAUGGCCGU
This 902-nucleotide ribosomal RNA is filed under the name Macrobrachium lanchesteri. RNAcentral describes it as "SSU rRNA". It matches the Rfam family "Eukaryotic small subunit ribosomal RNA", at positions 423 to 1291 of the family's 1831-position model. Lineage: Eukaryota; Metazoa; Arthropoda; Malacostraca; Decapoda; Palaemonidae. The record is from RNAcentral.